RNAcentral lists this non-coding RNA (107 nucleotides) under Clostridium pasteurianum. Its description in RNAcentral is "SAM-I sequence". It matches the Rfam family "SAM riboswitch aptamer (S box leader)". From Rfam's summary of the family: The SAM riboswitch is found upstream of a number of genes which code for proteins involved in methionine or cysteine biosynthesis in Gram-positive bacteria. RNAcentral also lists the same sequence under 1 other name. The record is from RNAcentral. Lineage: Bacteria; Bacillati; Bacillota; Clostridia; Eubacteriales; Clostridiaceae.
UUCUUAUCUGGAGAGGUGGAGGGAUUGGCCCUAUGAAACCCAACAACUGACAUCUGUGAUGUAGUCGUGUUAAUUCCUGCAGACUUAUGUGUUGUGAAAGAUAGGAA